RNAcentral lists this transfer RNA (85 nucleotides) under Halobacteriales archaeon QS_8_69_26. Its description in RNAcentral is "tRNA-Ser". It matches the Rfam family "tRNA". From Rfam's summary of the family: Transfer RNA (tRNA) molecules are approximately 80 nucleotides in length. Their secondary structure includes four short double-helical elements and three loops (D, anti-codon, and T loops). Lineage: Archaea; Methanobacteriati; Methanobacteriota; Halobacteria; Halobacteriales. The record is from RNAcentral.
GCCGAGGUAGCCUAGCCCGGCCAAGGCGGUUGCCUCGAGAGCAACUGUCCGCAAGGACUCAGGAGUUCAAAUCUCCUCCUCGGCG